This 368-nucleotide ribosomal RNA is filed under the name uncultured eukaryote. Its description in RNAcentral is "SSU rRNA". It matches the Rfam family "Eukaryotic small subunit ribosomal RNA", at positions 615 to 1002 of the family's 1831-position model. The record is from RNAcentral.
GCAGUUAAAAAGCUCGUAGUCGGAUUUUGGCUGAGAACGGUCGGUCCGCCGUUAGGUGUGCACUGACUGGUCUCAGCUUCCUGGUGAGGAGGUGUGCUUCAUCGCCACUUAGUCACCGUGGUUACUUUGAAAAAAUUAGAGUGUUCAAAGCGGGCUUACGCUUGAAUAUAUUAGCAUGGAAUAACACCAUAGGACUCCUGUCCUAUUUCGUUGGUCUCGGGACGGGAGUAAUGAUUAAGAGGAACAGUUGGGGGCAUUCGUAUUUCAUUGUCAGAGGUGAAAUUCUUGGAUUUAUGAAAGACGAACUUCUGCGAAAGCAUUUGCCAAGGAUGUUUUCAUUGAUCAAGAACGAAAGUUGGGGGCUCGAA